AAUCCUUGGAACCUAGGUGUGAGUGAUGUUUCAGUGCAACACACCUGUUCAAGGAUUCAAAGAGGCU
MicroRNA precursor from Loxodonta africana (African savanna elephant), 67 nucleotides. NCBI's taxonomy places the organism in Eukaryota, Metazoa, Chordata, Mammalia, Proboscidea, Elephantidae. The record is from Ensembl.